GUUCCUUCGGAGACAUCCGAUAAAAUUGGGACAAUAUAAAAAAUAUUAGCAAAGUCCUUGCGGAAGAAUAACACGCAUAAAUCGAAAAACAGCCUAAAAAUAUUUUU
RNAcentral lists this small nuclear RNA (107 nucleotides) under Nicotiana attenuata. Lineage: Eukaryota; Viridiplantae; Streptophyta; Magnoliopsida; Solanales; Solanaceae. The record is from RNAcentral.